Macaca fascicularis (crab-eating macaque) is the source of this 148-nucleotide unclassified non-coding RNA. It matches the Rfam family "Metazoan signal recognition particle RNA". From Rfam's summary of the family: The signal recognition particle (SRP) is a universally conserved ribonucleoprotein. It is involved in the co-translational targeting of proteins to membranes. NCBI's taxonomy places the organism in Eukaryota, Metazoa, Chordata, Mammalia, Primates, Cercopithecidae. The record is from Ensembl.
GCUGGGCAUGGGGGCGCUUGCCUGUAGUCCCAAUUACUCGGAAGGCUGAGGCAGGAGGAUCACUUGAACCCAGGAGGCAGAGGUUGCAGUGACCCAAGAUCGUGCCACUGCACUCUAGCCUGGGUGACAGAGUGAGAUUCUGUCUCAA